GCGGCAAUAGCUCAGUUGGUAGAGCGGCGGCUUCCCAAGCCGCAGGUCGCGGGUUCGAGCCCCGUUUGCCGCU
This 73-nucleotide transfer RNA is filed under the name Prevotellaceae bacterium. RNAcentral describes it as "tRNA-Gly". It matches the Rfam family "tRNA". Rfam says of the family: Transfer RNA (tRNA) molecules are approximately 80 nucleotides in length. Their secondary structure includes four short double-helical elements and three loops (D, anti-codon, and T loops). The record is from RNAcentral. Lineage: Bacteria; Pseudomonadati; Bacteroidota; Bacteroidia; Bacteroidales; Prevotellaceae. RNAcentral also lists the same sequence under 1 other name.